GACGGAGGAGGCAAGCGGUCUCCGGAAUCAUUGGGCGUAAAGGGUACGUAGGCGGCUGGUCAAGUCUGGGGUCAAAGGCCACAGCUCAACUGUGGGAAGGCCCUGGAAACUGACCGGCUAGAGUGAGGUAGGGGUUGCGGGAAUUCCCGGUGUAGCGGUGAAAUGCGUAGAUAUCGGGAAGAACACCUGAGGCGGAAGAGCGCAACUGGGCCUCAAUUGACGUGGAGCUGCGAAAGCUAGGGGAGCGAAUGGG
RNAcentral lists this ribosomal RNA (253 nucleotides) under uncultured bacterium. RNAcentral describes it as "partial 16S ribosomal RNA". It matches the Rfam family "Bacterial small subunit ribosomal RNA", at positions 524 to 776 of the family's 1533-position model. The record is from RNAcentral.